Molecule: ribosomal RNA, 444 nt
Filed under: Triticum aestivum (bread wheat)
Lineage: Eukaryota; Viridiplantae; Streptophyta; Magnoliopsida; Poales; Poaceae
Description: partial small subunit ribosomal RNA
Source: RNAcentral
AUGGAGUCAUCUUCCUCCACGGUUGGGAGGUCCAUGGAUGAGACCGAGUUCGUUCGGUCGCUGGAGAUACAGAGAGAUGUCAGGUCGGCGAGCGCCUCGAUCUCGAGGUCGAAGGCGCGGGACGAGAGCAAGUGGCGGAACUCGUCCUCGAGCCGCGCCAUCGUGACCUGCACGGCGCUGCACCCGCCUCCACCAGCCGCCGCCCCCGACCCGGACGACAGCCGCCGCGGGCUCCCGACCACCGAGGGGGACGACGGAGCGAGGCGGCGGAUGUUAUCCACAGCACGGAGGAACCGCUCCGACUCGGUUCGAUCCCCUGCUCCGUCGAACAGCAUCGGCUCGCCCCCAACCGCCGCCGCCGCCGAAGCCAACGACGAGUCCAACCGUAUCACCACUUGCUCCGCCGCCUCCAGCUCCGCCGGUCCAUCCAUAGUAUACAGUUGA